CUUAGGGCAGCGGCGGACGGGUGAGUAACACGUGGGUAACCUGCCUGUAAGACUGGGAUAACUCCGGGAAAACCGGGCUAAUACCGGAUGCUGAUUGAACCGCAUGGUUCAAUCAUAAAAAGGUGGCUUUAGCUACCACUUACAGAUGGACCCGCGGCGCAUUAGCUAGUUGGUGAGGUAACGGCUCACCAAGGCGACGAUGCGUAGCCGACCUGAGAGGGUGAUCGGCCACACUGGGACUGAGACACGGCCCAGACUCCUACGGGAGGCAGCAGUAGGGAAUCUUCCGCAAUGGACGAAAGUCUGACGGAGCAACGCCGCGUGAGUGAAGAAGGUUUUCGGAUCGUAAAGCUCUGUUGUAAGAGAAGAACGUGUGUGAGAGUGGAAAGUUCACACAGUGACGGUAACUUACCAGAAAGGGACGGCUAACUACGUGCCAGCCGCCGCGGUA
RNAcentral lists this ribosomal RNA (451 nucleotides) under uncultured bacterium. RNAcentral describes it as "bacterial SSU rRNA". It matches the Rfam family "Bacterial small subunit ribosomal RNA", at positions 86 to 522 of the family's 1533-position model. The record is from RNAcentral.